This is a non-coding RNA of Paramuricea clavata, 118 nucleotides long. The record is from the annotation of a GenBank genome assembly. NCBI's taxonomy places the organism in Eukaryota, Metazoa, Cnidaria, Anthozoa, Malacalcyonacea, Plexauridae.
CAAGCUGAGAACGACUUGUUAAGUUAUGAUGUUAGUUGCAUGAGAACGACUUGUUAAGUUAUGAUGUUAGGUGAAAUGUAACUAACAUCAUAACUUAACAAGUCGUUCUCAGCUUGAC